Molecule: long non-coding RNA, 2142 nt
Filed under: Piliocolobus tephrosceles (Ugandan red Colobus)
Lineage: Eukaryota; Metazoa; Chordata; Mammalia; Primates; Cercopithecidae
Description: lncRNA (ENSPTEG00000020814.1)
Source: RNAcentral
UUUAAUUCUAACACAAAAUAUAGAAUUAAUUCACUUUUUGUAAUUUUAAUAAAUUCUUUUAUACAAUUAGGAAUAUAUAUAUAUAUAUAUAUAUAUAUGUGUAUUUAUAUUUUUCUCUUUAUUUUUUUUUUAUUUAAUACAAAAUAUACAAUUAAAAUUAGAUUACUUAAUAGAAUUUUUUAGUAAAAUAUAAUUCCCUUUUUCAAUGAACAAAGGAAGAAAAAAAAAAAAUUAGACAGGUAAGGAAGAAAAAAAUAAAACAAAUUAAUGUAUAAAAAAGUUGACAUAUGAACAAAUGGAUAUGCAUAUGAAUGUAUAAAAAAAAUUAAACUUAUAAAUAAAUAUACUAAAAAAAAAUAGACUUACAAAAAAAUGCAUAAAAUAGACUUACAAAAAAAUGNNNNNNNNNNUUACAAAAAAAUGCAUAAAAUAGACUUACAAAAAAAUGCAUAAAAUAAACAUACGAUUAAGCAACUUAUUAGUUGAAAAAAGUAAAAAAAAAAAAUGAACUUUAAAAAAAAAUUAUAAAAGAAAAACCAACAUUAUAUUUUUUCUACAAGUGAAUUCUAUCAUAUACUAAAAGCGACAACAUUUACAUACAUACAUAAAAAUAUAAAUGUAUAUAUAUAUAUAUAUAUAUACAUGUUUAUGUGAAUUUACAAAUUAAUAAAAAUAUAUGUGCACACAGAUAUAUUUUUUUUUUACUUAAUAUAAAAAUAUGUACAUAUAUAUAUGUACAUAUAUAUAUAUAUAUAUAUACACAUUAUUAAAGUAAAAAAAAAUGUAACAGCAUCACAUGCACGUAUAAAAUCAUUGGAUUUACCAUAUGAAGCCUAACAAUUUUUUUUGAUAUUUUUAUUACAUUUAUUCAUAAAAUGUUAUACACAAAAUUAGACAGUAUUGUUUUAUGUUUUUUACAUUUUUCAAAAUGCAUACAUGUGCACUAUGUUUUUACAUCCUAUUUUUUUUUUUUUUUUUUUUUUUUUUUUUUUUUUUUUUUUUUUUUUUUUUUUUUUUUUUUUUUUUUUUUUUUUUUUUUUUUUCAUUUUGGUUUUUAUUAUUAACAGGUUGUACAUACUCUUUUAUUGUACCAUUAGGUAAAUUAAUAUCAAUACCAAAUAUUAAAUUAUUUUUUUCAAUAAUACUAUUCCAUAUACUCAUAUUUCUACAACUUAAUUCAUGUCCGGCAAGACCUAAUAUACCAUCCGUAUCUUGAAACAGGCUCCAAUUUUUAUAAAAAGUUAAAUCGACUACUAGUUUUAUGUCUGCAUUAUUAAAAAAGGCGUCCCUAACACUUGCAUUACUUCCUUCUACAAUUCUUUCAUUACUUCUUUCGUUGUUGCUUUCGGUACCUCUUUCGUUGUUGCUUUCGGUACNNNNNNNNNNUCUUUCGUUGUUGCUUUCGGUACCUCUUUCGUUGUUGCUUUCGGUACCUCUUUCGUUGUUGCUUUUAGUACCUCUUUCGUUAGUGUUCACCAAAUCCAAUAAUUGAACAUCAUCUAAGCCUUCUAUAUGACUUUCAGUAUAUCGUAGCGAGUCGAAGUAUAUAUUAGGAUACUCGGCUUUAUUUUCGAAUAUUAAAUUUUUACUACUGUAACAUUCAUAUGGUUUUGAUAAAAUUGGAGGUAAACAAAGAUUGUUAUUAUUGCACCAUAAAGCUUGUUUUGAAAUAAUAGGAUUGUAACAAUAACUGUUACCAUUAUCGUCUUGUUUUCUAAGACAAGCAUUAGAUCCUUUCAUAAAUACAUAAGUACCUUCUAAUCUACUAUUUAAAGAUAAUUUUAACAAUUGGUCACCUACUUUAACAUUAGUAUAUAAAUUAUUAUUGUUUGUAAAAUGUAAGUUUAAAAUUAAACCAUUAUAUUCAUCAUUUGAGUUGUUUGGUUCAUUUGAUUUAUUGUCAGUAGAAAUUAUUUUUUUUUUCAUAUGUAUUAGAAGAUGGAAUAACAUUUUUUGUUUCGUUAUUUCCGAUAAUAUUAUUAAAAUUUGUAUCAUCAGAACUAAUAUGUUUUAUAUCUUCAUUUAAAUUAGUAUUGGAUGAUUCAGCUUCUUUUUCGAAUUUAUUUAUUUUGCUUUUAUUAUUAACAUCUGUCAGACUAUCAUAAGUAAUAGAACUAUCAGUAAUGGAACUAUCAGUAAUGG